This 517-nucleotide long non-coding RNA is filed under the name Homo sapiens (human). Its description in RNAcentral is "HSALNT0354438". Lineage: Eukaryota; Metazoa; Chordata; Mammalia; Primates; Hominidae. The record is from RNAcentral.
AGGCGCACAGGGCGCGGCUACAGCAACUACUUCCUUCGCAACCCGUUGGUAGGGAGAAGGACGCCUCAGCCACUAGGCUGCUUCCGGUGUGUCACUGAACACCUUCCCCGUACCAGCAGCUGGAGGAUUUGUUUGGUAGCACCUGGGGGAUGGCUCUGUCCCGGGCGCACUUAGGCGGGCUGUGCGGAGCGCUUUACCUUCCACAGUGUCCGGCACACGCAUCCUUUUCGACAUCAUCACUUGACCUGCUGCAAUAGGUAACCUACCUGGCUCUCUCGCAUCCCGUUAUCAGCGUCAAGAAGAUUUGCACGUAGGCCUUUAAAGCCAGCCACCAGCCCCGGGCGCCUUCCUCUCACUAACCCCAUGCUGCCUUUCCAAACGGAAGAUGAACUUAGCAAUUCUAGGCGCUGCCUGUGUACUAGACAAGUCUUGCUGUGUUGCCCAGGCCGGAGUGCAGUGGUGCAAUCUCUGCUCAGUGCAACCUCUGCCUCCUGGGUUCAAGUGAUCAUUCUGCCUC